AUGAACGCUGGCGGCGUGCCUAAUACAUGCAAGUCGAGCGAACGGACGAGAAGCUUGCUUCUCUGAUGUUAGCGGCGGACGGGUGAGUAACACGUGGAUAACCUACCUAUAAGACUGGGAUAACUUCGGGAAACCGGAGCUAAUACCGGAUAAUAUUUUGAGCCGCAUGGUUCAAAAGUGAAAGACGGUCUUGCUGUCACUUAUAGAUGGAUCCGCGCUGCAUUAGUUAGUUGGUAAGGUAACGGCUUACCAAGGCAACGAUGCAUAGCCGACCUGAGAGGGUGGUCGGCCACACUGGAACUUAGACACGGUCCAGACUCCUACGGGAGGCAGCAGUAGGGAAUCUUCCGCAAUGGGCGAAAGCCUGACGGAGCAACGCCGCGUGAGUGAUGAAGGUCUUCGGAUCGUAAAACUCUGUUAUUAGGGAAGAACAUAUGUGUAAGUAACUGUGCACAUCUUGACGGUACCUAAUCAGAAAGCCACGGCUAACUACGUG
Molecule: ribosomal RNA, 496 nt
Filed under: uncultured bacterium
Lineage: Bacteria
Description: partial 16S ribosomal RNA
Rfam family: Bacterial small subunit ribosomal RNA
Source: RNAcentral